GGAAAAGGGGUUGCCGUGGGCAACGCUAAGGCUAUGACUGCGUAGAACACGUGAUCACUACGGCACAAUGGCGGGGAAAUUGGAUCCGCGGGAGGUACAAAGUAUUCAGGAAAGACUGAGCGGGAUUAUUCAGAGUCUGGAUGCUUCUGUGAAGUCUCUCGAUGAAUGUCAGAAAAAGCUGGACAAAUCCUUACAAUGUCAGGAUCAUUUGAAUCAUUGUUUAAAGCCCAUCCAAACUGGAUUUGUCCCAAAUAAAAAUGAAAAAGGCAGUUCGGAUGCCGCAAGGAUUUAAGUUUUCGUCAAGGGAAAGAGGGAAUAACAAAGUAUUUUCAGACUCUAUGAAUAAAAUUCUGUUUACCAUU
Molecule: long non-coding RNA, 362 nt
Organism: Xenopus laevis (African clawed frog)
Lineage: Eukaryota; Metazoa; Chordata; Amphibia; Anura; Pipidae
Exons: 3
Source: RefSeq, a predicted model, not a curated record